ACGGCUCAGUAACACGUAGCUAACCUACCCUUAAGUCGAGGAUACUCUCGGGAAACUGAGGUUAAUACUCGAUAGGAGAUGUACCCUGGAAUGAUUCAUCUCUCAAAUUCGAGCUUAAGGAUGGGGCUGCGGCGGAUUAGGUUGUUGGCGGGGUAAAAGCCCACCAAGCCGAUGAUCCGUAAGGGCUCUUAGCGGAGAGGCCCUGAGAGGGAAUCUGAGACACUAUUCCCAGCCCUACGGGGUGCAGCAGUUAGGAAUCUUCUGCAAUGCGCGCAAGCGUGACAGAUUGAGUCAGAGUGCUUUUCAUAUGAAAAGCUUUUGCCAAAUGUAAAAAGUUUGGCGAAUAAGGACUGGGUAAGACGGGUGCCAGCCGCCGCGGUAAUACCCGCGGUCCAAGUCGCAGCCAUCAUUAUUGGGUCUAAAACAUCCGUAGCUUGCUUGAUAAGUUUCUUGUGAAAUUCCAUGUCUCAAAUAUGGAGCGGGCAAGAAGUACUGUUAGGCUAGAGACUGGAAGACGUAAGAAGUACGUUUGGAGUAGCGGUAAAAUGUGUUAAUCCCAGACGGACUAACAACAGCGAAGGCAUCUUACGAGGACAGUUCUGACAGUAAGGGAUGAAGGCUAGGGGCGCGAAAGGGAUUAGAUACCCCUGUAGUCCUAGCAGUAAACACUGCACACUAAACAUUAGUACCUCCUCGAGAGGUGUUAGUGCUGAAGAGAAGUCGAAGAGUGUGCUACCUGGGAAGUAUAGUCGCAAGGCUGAAACUUAAAGGAAUUGGCGGGGGAGCACAAUCACUAG
This 797-nucleotide ribosomal RNA is filed under the name uncultured euryarchaeote. Its description in RNAcentral is "bacterial SSU rRNA". It matches the Rfam family "Archaeal small subunit ribosomal RNA", at positions 85 to 888 of the family's 1478-position model. The record is from RNAcentral. Lineage: Archaea; Methanobacteriati; Methanobacteriota.